RNAcentral lists this long non-coding RNA (292 nucleotides) under Physcomitrium patens. RNAcentral describes it as "long non-coding RNA (PPAT_LNC000292)". Lineage: Eukaryota; Viridiplantae; Streptophyta; Bryopsida; Funariales; Funariaceae. The record is from RNAcentral.
UAAUGUAAUUAAUUCAAAAUAAAAAAUGGAGCAAUCAAUUGAAUGUGUGUGAACCUGUAAGAAAGUUUUGAAUAUUGAAAAUUUGCAAACAUUUCCAUCUAAAACCAUAAAAAUUGUUGUUUUGUUAUACAAGCAAGUCAAGUAGUAUGUUUCUUUUUUAAUUUUAAUUGUGUAGAUCCAAAAUCCGGGUUUAAAAUUUUAUGUUAUAACAUAUGAAAUUGGAUUGUUAGUGCAAUAUCAAUUCAUUUGAAGGGAACAAAAGAUUGUCAAGAUUGGGAUGCAUCAAAAAAUA